AUGCACGCUGGCGGCUUGCCUAAUACAUGCAAGUCGCGCGAACAGACGAGGAGCUUGCUCCUCUGACGUUAGCGGCGGACGGGUGAGUAACACGUGGAUAACCUACCUAUAAGACUGGGAUAACUUCGGUAAACCGGAGCUAAUACCGGAUAAUAUAUUGAACCGCAUGGUUCAAUAGUGAAAGACGGUUUUGCUGUCACUUAUAGAUGGAUCCGCGCCGCAUUAGCUAGUUGGUAAGGUAACGGCUUACCAAGGCAACGAUGCGUAGCCGACCUGAGAGGGUGAUCGGCCACACUGGAACUGAGACACGGUCCAGACUCCUACGGGAGGCAGCAGUAGGGAAUCUUCCGCAAUGGGCGAAAGCCUGACGGAGCAACGCCGCGUGAGUGAUGAAGGUCUUCGGAUCGUAAAACUCUGUUAUUAGGGAAGAACAAAUGUGUAAGUAACUAUGCACGUCUUGACGGUACCUAAUCAGAAAGCCACGGCUAACUACGUG
RNAcentral lists this ribosomal RNA (496 nucleotides) under uncultured bacterium. RNAcentral's name for it is "partial 16S ribosomal RNA". It matches the Rfam family "Bacterial small subunit ribosomal RNA", at positions 29 to 507 of the family's 1533-position model. The record is from RNAcentral.